Molecule: transfer RNA, 71 nt
Filed under: Fukomys damarensis (Damara mole-rat)
Lineage: Eukaryota; Metazoa; Chordata; Mammalia; Rodentia; Bathyergidae
Rfam family: tRNA
About the family: Transfer RNA (tRNA) molecules are approximately 80 nucleotides in length.
Source: Rfam by way of RNAcentral
UGUGGUGUAGCUCAGUGGUAGAGCACUUGCUAAUAUGCAUGAAGUCCUGGAUUUGAUCCCCAGCACUGCAA